This 442-nucleotide ribosomal RNA is filed under the name uncultured bacterium. RNAcentral's name for it is "partial 16S ribosomal RNA". It matches the Rfam family "Bacterial small subunit ribosomal RNA", at positions 338 to 795 of the family's 1533-position model. The record is from RNAcentral.
CCUACGGGAGGCAGCAGUGGGGAAUAUUGGGCAAUGGGCGCAAGCCUGACCCAGCAACGCCGCGUGAAGGAAGAAGGCUUUCGGGUUGUAAACUUCUUUUCUGAGGGACGAAGAAAGUGACGGUACCUCAGGAAUAAGCCACGGCUAACUACGUACCAGCAGCCGCGGUAAUACGUAGGUGGCAAGCGUUAUCCGGCUUUAUUGGGUUUAAAGGGGGCGUAGGCGGAAUGCCAAGUCAGCGGUAAAAUCGCGGGGUUCAACCUCGCUCCGCCGUUGAAACGGGCGUUCUUGAGUGGGCGAGAGGUAUGCGGAAUGCGUGGUGUAGCGGUGAAAUGCAUAGAUAUCACGCAGAACUCCGAUUGCGAAGGCAGCAUACCGGCGCCCAACUGACGCUGAAGCACGAAAGCGUGGGUAUCGAACAGGAUUAGAUACCCCUGUAGUC